GCUAGUCGCACGGGCUUAGACCCGUGGCAUAUAGCUCAGUAACACGUGGCCAAACUACCCUACAGACCGCAAUAACCUCGGGAAACUGAGGCCAAUAGCGGAUAUAACUCUCAUGCUGGAGUGCAGAGAGUUAGAAAUGUUCCGGCGCUGUAGGAUGUGGCUGCGGCCGAUUAGGUAGAUGGUGGGGUAACGGCCCACCAUGCCGAUAAUCGGUACGGGUUGUGAGAGCAAGAACCCGGAGACGGUAUCUGAGACAAGAUACCGGGCCCUACGGGGCGCAGCAGGCGCGAAACCUUUACACUGCACGACAGUGCGAUAGGGGGACUCCGAGUGCGAGGGCAUAUAGCCCUCGCUUUUCUGUACCGUAAGGUGGUACAGGAACAAGGACUGGGCAAGACCGGUGCCAGCCGCCGCGGUAAUACCGGCAGUCCGAGUGAUGGCCGAUAUUAUUGGGCCUAAAGCGUCCGUAGCCGGCCGGACAAGUCCGUUGGGAAAUCGACGCGCUCAACGCGUCGGCGUCCAGCGGAAACUGUCCGGCUUGGGGCCGGAAGACCUGAGGGGUACGUCCGGGGUAGGAGUGAAAUCCUGUAAUCCUGGACGGACCACCAAUGGGGAAACCACCUCAGGAAGACGGACCCGACGGGAG
This 646-nucleotide ribosomal RNA is filed under the name Haloarcula sp. E2. Its description in RNAcentral is "bacterial SSU rRNA". It matches the Rfam family "Archaeal small subunit ribosomal RNA", at positions 53 to 701 of the family's 1478-position model. Lineage: Archaea; Methanobacteriati; Methanobacteriota; Halobacteria; Halobacteriales; Haloarculaceae. The record is from RNAcentral.